GCGACAUCGAAUGCUUGUAUCACACAUAUAUGUUAGUUAUGGAGGUCUACUUACAUAUAUUAACUUGUUUUCAUGGUUCAAAACCUUCUAAUCGCUGCAAACGAGCCGAUCAAAAUAUCUCCUCACUGACGCUCUCGUCAGCCGCGCUGUUUCAGACCAAAACCACCCCCCCAGAACGUGGACUGUGUUGUGAUUGGCCAGCCAACGAGAGCUUUCCCACUUUCCUGUGAUUGGCCAGGUACCUGGAAGUGACGUGUUUAGAACGUCAGCUCUCAGAUACGCAGCUCUUUUUUUUUUUUUUUUUUUUUUUAAACAACUUUAUUGAAAUACGGUUACAUUACAAAAGUGAAGAAAGAAACAUAUUACAUUAGUGAACAAACAGAGCAAAAACAGGAGAAAUAAAACUUUGCCAGGGUAGCUGAUGAGUUAUUAAAAAGAGAAAGAAAAGGAAGACCAAACAUUGACAGUCUUAAUUGCUUUUUUGUUAUUAGAGCCAGAAAUCAAAUAAAUCAGAUACGCAGCUCUCCCUCUGGCACGAUUGAUGCUCUGCUCGUCAUUAUCAAGACAUUGUUAAAUGGCUGUGUCACGACCCCGCGCCGUAAUCCCUUACACAUUUGACCCGGAGUCUGACCCAGAGACAGAAGAUACUGUCGCAAGUGAAACACCUCCACAACAAAGACUGCUGCAGGACGCCUCAGAAUGGUAAUGUUUUCUCUGUGUAUAUUCCCAAUACUGUAUGUGGUUAAUUGUAGGGAGACACUGGUUGAGGCUUGAUAACCCGCCCCUCCCCCCACCAUUUUUUCUAAGUAUAAGCUACAGCAAUACCUGUACAUGUCUUUUUGUUUUCUAUUUAGAUUUUAUCACUUGCUGUUUGGUGAAACGCUCAUUUUAACAUUUUGUGUAGAUAUCUGGUGGGACUGUGAUGAAAGUAGUUUUGUUCCCCUGUACGUAAUAUGAGUAACUGAUGAAUAGAACUCUUGAAUCUAUGAAAUGUGUUACUGUACUUUUCAUACACAAUACUGUAUCUCUGGACGAUGCCCACAGAAGGGGAGAACGUCUGCUGUAGAGAAACACUUAAGGUUAUCCGAAGAAUGAAUGAACUUCCGGACACACCAACAUGCAUGAUCUACCAUCCAGGCCUGGAGCCUAACUGCUUGAACCCAUACACACUGCAGAACAUGAACAACAUCUACCGGGCAGACUAUGGGCCUUUGCGGGGAAGAACAAUACACGAGUAUUCGCUACCGGCAUUUAGCAUACCGCAGCUUUGUCAGCUGGUGCUGGGGAUAUUUGGGACGACGUGUACGAGUUGUCAUCUCGUCGUGUGUCGUGUGCCGGAUACGCCAGGAGUUUCCUGAUCUGGCUGGACAAUAUGUU
Molecule: long non-coding RNA, 1377 nt
Organism: Solea solea (common sole)
Lineage: Eukaryota; Metazoa; Chordata; Actinopteri; Pleuronectiformes; Soleidae
Exons: 3
Source: RefSeq, a predicted model, not a curated record